GGUUAAGCGACUAAGCGUACACGGUGGAUGCCCUGGCAGUCAGAGGCGAUGAAGGACGUGCUAAUCUGCGAAAAGCGUCGGUAAGGUGAUAUGAACCGUUACAGCCGGCGAUGUCCGAAUGGGGAAACCCAGUGCAAUUCGUUGCACUAUCGUUAACUGAAUACAUAGGUUAACGAGGCGAACCGGGGGAACUGAAACAUCUAAGUACCCCGAGGAAAAGAAAUCAACCGAGAUUCCCCCAGUAGCGGCGAGCGAACGGGGAGCAGCCCAGAGUCUGAAUCAGCUUGUGUGUUAGUGGAACGGUCUGGAAAGUCCGACGGUACAGGGUGAUAGUCCCGUACACCAAAAUGCACAGGCUGUGAACUCGAAGAGUAGGGCGGGACACGUGGUAUCCUGUCUGAAUAUGGGGGGACCAUCCUCCAAGGCUAAAUACUCCUGACUGACCGAUAGUGAACCAGUACCGUGAGGGAAAGGCGAAAAGAACCCCGGCGAGGGGAGUGAAAAAGAACCUGAAACCGUGUACGUACAAGCAGUGGGAGCACCUUCGGGUGUGACUGCGUACCUUUUGUAUAAUGGGUCAGCGACUUAUAUUCUGUAGCAAGGUUAACCGUAUAGGGGAGCCGCAGGGAAACCGAGUCUUAACUGGGCGUUAAGUUGCAGGGUAUAGACCCGAAACCCGGUGAUCUAGCCAUGGGCAGGUUGAAGGUUGGGUAACACUAACUGGAGGACCGAACCGACUAAUGUUGAAAAAUUAGCGGAUGACUUGUGGCUGGGGGUGAAAGGCCAAUCAAACCGGGAGAUAGCUGGUUCUCCCCGAAAGCUAUUUAGGUAGCGCCUCGUGAAUUCAUCUUCGGGGGUAGAGCACUGUUUCGGCUAGGGGGUCAUCCCGACUUACCAACCCGAUGCAAACUACGAAUACCGAAGAAUGUUAUCACGGGAGACACACGGCGGGUGCUAACGUCCGUCGUGAAGAGGGAAACAACCCAGACCGCCAGCUAAGGUCCCAAAGUCAUGGUUAAGUGGGAAACGAUGUGGGAAGGCACAGACAGCCAGGAUGUUGGCUUAGAAGCAGCCAUCAUUUAAAGAAAGCGUAAUAGCUCACUGGUCGAGUCGGCCUGCGCGGAAGAUGUAACGGGGCUAAACCAUGCACCGAAGCUGCGGCAGCGACACUAUGUGUUGUUGGGUAGGGGAGCGUUCUGUAAGCCUGCGAAGGUGACCUGUGAGGGUUGCUGGAGGUAUCAGAAGUGCGAAUGCUGACAUAAGUAACGAUAAAGCGGGUGAAAAGCCCGCUCGCCGGAAGACCAAGGGUUCCUGUCCAACGUUAAUCGGGGCAGGGUGAGUCGACCCCUAAGGCGAGGCCGAAAGGCGUAGUCGAUGGGAAACAGGUUAAUAUUCCUGUACUUGGUGUUACUGCGAAGGGGGGACGGAGAAGGCUAUGUUAGCCGGGCGACGGUUGUCCCGGUUUAAGCAUGUAGGCUGGUUGUCCAGGCAAAUCCGGAUAAUCAAGGCUGAGGUGUGAUGACGAGGCACUACGGUGCUGAAGUAACAAAUGCCCUGCUUCCAGGAAAAGCCUCUAAGCAUCAGGUAACAUUAAAUCGUACCCCAAACCGACACAGGUGGUCAGGUAGAGAAUACCAAGGCGCUUGAGAGAACUCGGGUGAAGGAACUAGGCAAAAUGGUGCCGUAACUUCGGGAGAAGGCACGCUGGUGUGUAGGUGAAGUCCCUGCGGAUGGAGCUGAGACCAGUCGAAGAUACCAGCUGGCUGCAACUGUUUAUUAAAAACACAGCACUGUGCAAACACGAAAGUGGACGUAUACGGUGUGACGCCUGCCCGGUGCCGGAAGGUUAAUUGAUGGGGUUAUCCGUAAGGAGAAGCUCUUGAUCGAAGCCCCGGUAAACGGCGGCCGUAACUAUAACGGUCCUAAGGUAGCGAAAUUCCUUGUCGGGUAAGUUCCGACCUGCACGAAUGGCGUAAUGAUGGCCAGGCUGUCUCCACCCGAGACUCAGUGAAAUUGAACUCGCUGUGAAGAUGCAGUGUACCCGCGGCAAGACGGAAAGACCCCGUGAACCUUUACUAUAGCUUGACACUGAACAUUGAGCCUUGAUGUGUAGGAUAGGUGGGAGGCUUUGAAGCGUGGACGCCAGUCUGCGUGGAGCCAACCUUGAAAUACCACCCUUUAAUGUUUGAUGUUCUAACGUUGGCCCCUGACCGGGGUUGCGGACAGUGUCUGGUGGGUAGUUUGACUGGGGCGGUCUCCUCCCAAAGCGUAACGGAGGAGCACGAAGGUUAGCUAAUCCUGGUCGGACAUCAGGAGGUUAGUGCAAUGGCAUAAGCUAGCUUGACUGCGAGCGUGACGGCGCGAGCAGGUGCGAAAGCAGGUCAUAGUGAUCCGGUGGUUCUGAAUGGAAGGGCCAUCGCUCAACGGAUAAAAGGUACUCCGGGGAUAACAGGCUGAUACCGCCCAAGAGUUCAUAUCGACGGCGGUGUUUGGCACCUCGAUGUCGGCUCAUCACAUCCUGGGGCUGAAGUAGGUCCCAAGGGUAUGGCUGUUCGCCAUUUAAAGUGGUACGCGAGCUGGGUUUAGAACGUCGUGAGACAGUUCGGUCCCUAUCUGCCGUGGGCGCUGGAGAAUUGAGGGGGGCUGCUCCUAGUACGAGAGGACCGGAGUGGACGCAUCACUGGUGUUCGGGUUGUCAUGCCAAUGGCACUGCCCGGUAGCUAAAUGCGGAAGAGAUAAGUGCUGAAAGCAUCUAAGCACGAAACUUGCCCCGAGAUGAGUUCUCCCUGAGACUUUAAGUCUCCUGAAGGAACGUUAAAGACGAUGACGUUGAUAGGCCGGGUGUGUAAGCGCAGCGAUGCGUUGAGCUAACCGGUACUAAUGAACCGUGAGGCUUAACCUU
This 2902-nucleotide ribosomal RNA is filed under the name Klebsiella pneumoniae. Its description in RNAcentral is "23S ribosomal RNA". It matches the Rfam family "Bacterial large subunit ribosomal RNA". The record is from RNAcentral. Lineage: Bacteria; Pseudomonadati; Pseudomonadota; Gammaproteobacteria; Enterobacterales; Enterobacteriaceae.